GCCGGAUUAGCUCAGUUGGUAGAGCAUCUCAUUCGUAAUGAGGGGGUCGUUGGUUCAAAUCCGACAUCCGGCACCA
Molecule: transfer RNA, 76 nt
Filed under: Rickettsiales bacterium
Lineage: Bacteria; Pseudomonadati; Pseudomonadota; Alphaproteobacteria; Rickettsiales
Description: tRNA-Thr
Rfam family: tRNA
About the family: Transfer RNA (tRNA) molecules are approximately 80 nucleotides in length. Their secondary structure includes four short double-helical elements and three loops (D, anti-codon, and T loops).
Source: RNAcentral